Molecule: ribosomal RNA, 253 nt
Filed under: uncultured bacterium
Lineage: Bacteria
Description: partial 16S ribosomal RNA
Rfam family: Bacterial small subunit ribosomal RNA
Source: RNAcentral
UACGGAGGGUGCAAGCGUUGUCCGGAUUUAUUGGGUUUAAAGGGUGCGUAGGUGGCCUUAUAAGUCAGUGGUGAAAGUCUGCAGCUCAACUGUAGAAUUGCCAUUGAUACUGUUAGGCUUGAGUAUUGAUGAGGUAGGCGGAAUUGAUAGUGUAGCGGUGAAAUGCAUAGAUAUUAUCAAGAACACCGAUUGCGAAGGCAGCUUACUAAGGAAUAACUGACACUGAGGCACGAAAGCGUGGGGAUCAAACAGG